RNAcentral lists this unclassified non-coding RNA (213 nucleotides) under Ascomycota sp. Its description in RNAcentral is "partial contains small subunit ribosomal RNA, internal transcribed spacer 1, and 5.8S ribosomal RNA". The stretch from base 1 to 47 matches the Rfam family "Eukaryotic small subunit ribosomal RNA", at positions 1785 to 1831 of the family's 1831-position model. Lineage: Eukaryota; Fungi; Ascomycota. The record is from RNAcentral.
AAAGUCGUAACAAGGUUUCUGUAGGUGAACCUGCAGAAAGAUCAUUACUGUAGGGGUGAUUCCCUAUCAAGAUAGCACCCUUUGUCUAUAAGUACCUCUUGUUUCCCUAGCAGGUGAUUCUGCUAACAGGGACCCUAUAAACCCUUUGUAGUUGCAGUUAACCUCUAAUACAACUAAUCAUUAAAACUUUUAACAACAGAUCUCUUAGCUCUA